UGGGGGAUAUUGCACAAUGGGCGAAAGCCUGAUGCAGCGACGCCGCGUGGGGGAUGAAGGCCUUCGGGUUGUAAACUUCUUUUGCUCUGAACAAGGCGCACCAUGGGGUGUGUUGAGUGUAGGGGUUGAUUAGCGCCGGCUAACUACGUGCCAGCAGCCGCGGUAAUACGUAGGGCGCGAGCGUUGUCCGGAAUUAUUGGGCGUAAAGGGCUUGUAGGUGGCUGGUUGCGUCUGUCGUGAAAGCUCAUGGCUUAACUGUGGGUUUGCGGUGGGUACGGGCUGGCUUGAGUGCAGUAGGGGAGGCUGGAAUUCCUGGUGUAGCGGUGGAAUGCGCAGAUAUCAGGAGGAAUACCGGUGGCGAAGGCGGGUCUCCGGGCUGUUACUGACACUGAGGAGCGAAAGCAUGGGGAGCGAACAGG
Molecule: ribosomal RNA, 419 nt
Filed under: bacterium
Lineage: Bacteria
Description: partial 16S ribosomal RNA
Rfam family: Bacterial small subunit ribosomal RNA
Source: RNAcentral